UACGAAGGCCCCAAGCGUCAUCCGGAUUUAUUGGGCGUAAAGCGUUCAACGGCGGCAACGUAAGUCAUUGGUCAAAUCUCGCGGCUCAACCGCGAGGCAGCUGAUGAAACUGCGUAGCUCGAGGCUGGUAGAGGCAUACGGAACUAUCGGUGUAGCGGUAAAAUGCGUUCAUAUCGAUAGGAACACCAAAGGCGAAAGCAGUAUGCUGGAACAGUCCUGACGCUCAACGAACGAAAGCGUGGGGAGCGAAUGGG
This 254-nucleotide ribosomal RNA is filed under the name uncultured bacterium. Its description in RNAcentral is "partial 16S ribosomal RNA". It matches the Rfam family "Bacterial small subunit ribosomal RNA", at positions 524 to 776 of the family's 1533-position model. The record is from RNAcentral.